GCGGAAUUGGUGGAAUGGUAGACACGCAAGAAUGAGGUUCUUGUGGACGCAUAGUCCGUGGGAGUUCGAAUCUCCUGUCCCGCACCA
RNAcentral lists this transfer RNA (87 nucleotides) under Spiroplasmataceae bacterium. RNAcentral's name for it is "tRNA-Leu". It matches the Rfam family "tRNA". From Rfam's summary of the family: Transfer RNA (tRNA) molecules are approximately 80 nucleotides in length. Their secondary structure includes four short double-helical elements and three loops (D, anti-codon, and T loops). Lineage: Bacteria; Bacillati; Mycoplasmatota; Mollicutes; Entomoplasmatales; Spiroplasmataceae. The record is from RNAcentral.